RNAcentral lists this ribosomal RNA (235 nucleotides) under uncultured Staphylococcus sp. RNAcentral's name for it is "partial 16S ribosomal RNA". It matches the Rfam family "Bacterial small subunit ribosomal RNA", at positions 105 to 334 of the family's 1533-position model. Lineage: Bacteria; Bacillati; Bacillota; Bacilli; Caryophanales; Staphylococcaceae. The record is from RNAcentral.
GGUGAGUAACACGUGGAUAACCUACCUAUAAGACUGGGAUAACUUCGGGAAACCGGAGCUAAUACCGGAUAACAUGUUGAACCGCAUGGUUCAACAGUGAAAGACGGUCUUGCUGUCACUUAUAGAUGGAUCCGCGUCGCAUUAGCUAGUUGGUAAGGUAACGGCUUACCAAGGCAACGAUGCGUAGCCGACCUGAGAGGGUGAUCGGCCACACUGGAACUGAGACACGGUCCAG